GCUCUUAUGAAGUUAGCGGCGGACGGGUGAGUAACACGUGGGUAACCUACCCAUAAGACUGGGAUAACUCCGGGAAACCGGGGCUAAUACCGGAUAAUAUUUUGAACUGCAUAGUUCGAAAUUGAAAGGCGGCUUCGGCUGUCACUUAUGGAUGGACCCGCGUCGCAUUAGCUAGUUGGUGAGGUAACGGCUCACCAAGGCAACGAUGCGUAGCCGACCUGAGAGGGUGAUCGGCCACACUGGGACUGAGACACGGCCCAGACUCCUACGGGAGGCAGCAGUAGGGAAUCUUCCGCAAUGGACGAAAGUCUGACGGAGCAACGCCGCGUGAGUGAUGAAGGCUUUCGGGUCGUAAAACUCUGUUGUUAGGGAAGAACAAGUGCUAGUUGAAUAAGCUGGCACCUUGACGGUACCUAACCAGAAAGCCACGGCUAACUACGUGCCAGCAGCCGCGGUAAUACGUAGGUGGCAAGCGUUAUCCGGAAUUAUUGGGCGUAAAGCGCGCGCAGGUGGUUUCUUAAGUCUGAUGUGAAAGCCCACGGCUCAACCGUGGAGGGUCAUUGGAAACUGGGAGACUUGAGUGCA
This 585-nucleotide ribosomal RNA is filed under the name Bacillus mycoides. RNAcentral describes it as "bacterial SSU rRNA". It matches the Rfam family "Bacterial small subunit ribosomal RNA", at positions 80 to 650 of the family's 1533-position model. The record is from RNAcentral. Lineage: Bacteria; Bacillati; Bacillota; Bacilli; Caryophanales; Bacillaceae.